Molecule: non-coding RNA, 96 nt
Organism: Mycena rebaudengoi
Lineage: Eukaryota; Fungi; Basidiomycota; Agaricomycetes; Agaricales; Mycenaceae
Source: the annotation of a GenBank genome assembly
GCCCUCGUGGAUGAGUUGGCACAUCAUCCACCUUACUUGUGCACUUAUAUCUAUCGCGGCAAGGGGAAGGCGGAGGUUCGAAUCCUCCCAGGGGCU